RNAcentral lists this ribosomal RNA (207 nucleotides) under uncultured bacterium. RNAcentral's name for it is "partial 16S ribosomal RNA". It matches the Rfam family "Bacterial small subunit ribosomal RNA", at positions 568 to 774 of the family's 1533-position model. The record is from RNAcentral.
UGCGUAGGCGGUUUGUUAAGUCUGUUGUGAAAUCCCCGGGCUCAACCUGGGAAUGGCAAUGGAAACUGGCAAGCUAGAGUGUGUCAGAGGAUGGUGGAAUUCCCGGUGUAGCGGUGAAAUGCGUAGAGAUCGGGAGGAACAUCAGUGGCGAAGGCGGCCAUCUGGGACAACACUGACGCUGAAGCACGAAAGCGUGGGGAGCAAACA